RNAcentral lists this long non-coding RNA (609 nucleotides) under Manihot esculenta (cassava). RNAcentral describes it as "long non-coding RNA (MESC_LNC008896)". The record is from RNAcentral. Lineage: Eukaryota; Viridiplantae; Streptophyta; Magnoliopsida; Malpighiales; Euphorbiaceae.
CGUUGUUCUGUUUUGUGUUGUACACCCUUGACCUUGCUCCAUCUGUAUGCUUUUUACGUGAAAGUGUCGUGGUUGACUUUGAAGGGCUUGAACUAAACCUCGUGUAAAUAUCAGAACAGCCUUGUUAUGUUGUGAAACUAGUACUGAACCUUCACUGCAUAACCUUACUACGUAGUUCUGUUGUGUUGUGCACUCGUGACCUUGCUCUAUCUGUAUGCUUUUUACGUGAAAGUGUAGUGGUUGACUUUGAAGGGCUUGAAUUAAACCUCGUGUACAUAUCAGAACAGCCUUGUUAUGUUGUGAAACUAGUACUGAACCUUCACUUCUCGGAGUCUGAAGGUUGACUAUCAUGUGUGUUGGAAAAGAGAACCUCAAAUAAUCAAUGUGAAUUUUAUAAUCAUCAGGCCUAUGCGCAACCUAGUGUGAACGCAAGGGUGACUGCCUAUUAUUCUAUUAGUUUAUCUUUGUUAUUGCUGGGUAGCUGAAGAUAAUACACAAAGUUCGUAUCGUGGGAGAGAAGAGGCGGAAAACAAAUAAAAAAAAAAAGAGAAAAUAAAGAGGAAAAACUUAUCUAAGAAGCUAAAAGUCUGUGUUUCACAUGCUUGCUUA